Molecule: ribosomal RNA, 2569 nt
Filed under: human gut metagenome
Description: bacterial LSU rRNA
Rfam family: Bacterial large subunit ribosomal RNA
Source: RNAcentral
AGGGCGCACGGUGGAUGCCUUGGCACUAGGAGCCGAUGAAGGACGGGACUAACACCGAUAUGCUUUGGGGAGCUGUAAGUAAGCUAUGAUCCAGAGAUUUCCGAAUGGGGGAACCCAAUAUCUUUUAUAGGAUAUUACUUUUCAGUGAAUACAUAGCUGAUUAGAGGUAGACGCAGAGAACUGAAACAUCUUAGUACCUGCAGGAAGAGAAAGAAAAUUCGAUUCCCUGAGUAGCGGCGAGCGAAACGGGAAGAGCCCAAACCAACAAGCUUGCUUGUUGGGGUUGUAGGACUCCAAUAUGGUAGUCUGUUAGUAUAGUUGAAGGAUUUGGAAAAUUCCGCUAAAGAGGGUGAAAGCCCCGUAGACGAAAUGCUGACAACACCUAGGAGGAUCCUGAGUACGGCGGAACACGAGAAAUUCCGUCGGAAUCCGCGGGGACCAUCCCGCAAGGCUAAAUACUCCCUAGUGACCGAUAGUGAACCAGUACCGUGAGGGAAAGGUGAAAAGCACCCCGGAAGGGGAGUGAAAUAGAUCCUGAAACCGUGUGCCUACAACAAGUCAAAGCUCGUUAAUGAGUGAUGGCGUGCCUUUUGUAGAAUGAACCGGCGAGUUACGAUUGCAUGCGAGGUUAAGUCGAAGAGACGGAGCCGCAGCGAAAGCGAGUCUGAAUAGGGCGAAUGAGUAUGUAGUCGUAGACCCGAAACCAUGUGAUCUACCCAUGUCCAGGUUGAAGGUGCGGUAAAACGCACUGGAGGACCGAACCCACGUACGUUGAAAAGUGCGGGGAUGAGGUGUGGGUAGCGGAGAAAUUCCAAACGAACUUGGAGAUAGCUGGUUCUCUCCGAAAUAGCUUUAGGGCUAGCCUCGGAAUUGAGAAUGAUGGAGGUAGAGCACUGUUUGGACUAGGGGCCCAUCUCGGGUUACCGAAUUCAGAUAAACUCCGAAUGCCAUUCAUUUAUAUCCGGGAGUCAGACUGCGAGUGAUAAGAUCCGUAGUCGAAAGGGAAACAGCCCAGACCACCAGCUAAGGUCCCAAAAUAUAUGUUAAGUGGAAAAGGAUGUGGGGUUGCACAGACAACUAGGAUGUUGGCUUAGAAGCAGCCACCAUUUAAAGAGUGCGUAAUAGCUCACUAGUCGAGUGACCCUGCGCCGAAAAUGUACCGGGGCUAAACAUAUUACCGAAGCUGUGGACUACACCAUUAGGUGUAGUGGUAGGAGAGCGUUCUAAGGGCGUUGAAGGUCGAUCGUGAGGACGGCUGGAGCGCUUAGAAGUGAGAAUGCCGGUAUGAGUAGCGAAAGACAGGUGAGAAUCCUGUCCACCGUAUGACUAAGGUUUCCUGGGGAAGGCUCGUCCGCCCAGGGUUAGUCGGGACCUAAGCCGAGGCCGAUAGGCGUAGGCGAUGGACAACAGGUUGAUAUUCCUGUACCAGUUGUUUUUGUUUGAGCAAUGGAGGGACGCAGUAGGCUAAGGAAUGCAUGCGAUUGGAAGUGCAUGUCCAAGCAAUGAGUCUUGAGUAGAGUUAAAUGCUUUACUCUUUAAGGACAAGUUGUGACGGGGAGCGAAAUAAUAGUAGCGAAGUUCCUGAUGUCACACUGCCAAGAAAAGCUUCUAGUGAGAAAACAACUGCCCGUACCGUAAACCGACACAGGUAGUCGAGGAGAGUAUCCUAAGGUGAGCGAGCGAACUCUCGUUAAGGAACUCGGCAAAAUGACCCCGUAACUUCGGGAGAAGGGGUGCUGACUUCGGUCAGCCGCAGUGAAUAGGCCCAAGCGACUGUUUAUCAAAAACACAGGUCUCUGCAAAAUCGUAAGAUGAAGUAUAGGGGCUGACGCCUGCCCGGUGCUGGAAGGUUAAGAGGAUGGGUUAGCUUCGGCGAAGCUCAGAAUUGAAGCCCCAGUAAACGGCGGCCGUAACUAUAACGGUCCUAAGGUAGCGAAAUUCCUUGUCGGGUAAGUUCCGACCCGCACGAAAGGCGUAACGAUUUGGGCACUGUCUCAACGAGAGACUCGGUGAAAUUUUAGUACCUGUGAAGAUGCAGGUUACCCGCGACAGGACGGAAAGACCCCAUGGAGCUUUACUGUAGUUUGAUAUUGAGUGUUUGUACCACAUGUACAGGAUAGGUAGGAGCCGAUGAGACCGGAACGCUAGUUUCGGAGGAGGCGCUGGUGGGAUACUACCCUUGUGUUAUGAACCCUCUAACCCGCACCACUAAUCGUGGUGGGAGACAGUGUCAGAUGGGCAGUUUGACUGGGGCGGUCGCCUCCUAAAAGGUAACGGAGGCGCCCAAAGGUUCCCUCAGAAUGGUUGGAAAUCAUUCGAAGAGUGUAAAGGCAGAAGGGAGCUUGACUGCGAGACCUACAAGUCGAGCAGGGACGAAAGUCGGGCUUAGUGAUCCGGUGGUUCCGCAUGGAAGGGCCAUCGCUCAACGGAUAAAAGCUACCCUGGGGAUAACAGGCUUAUCUCCCCCAAGAGUCCACAUCGACGGGGAGGUUUGGCACCUCGAUGUCGGCUCGUCGCAUCCUGGGGCUGUAGUCGGUCCCAAGGGUUGGGCUGUUCGCCCAUUAAAGCG